Molecule: long non-coding RNA, 569 nt
Organism: Bos taurus (domestic cattle)
Lineage: Eukaryota; Metazoa; Chordata; Mammalia; Artiodactyla; Bovidae
Source: Ensembl
GACACCACUGAGUAAUCAAGGUUGUGCCUGAAUACAACCUCAGAAUCCUUCUCAACACCUGCAGAGAGCUGCCAUCUGGAUGAACAUUUUAGACCACCUAUGCGGUUAGAUGUGCUGUGAGUCAUGCUUGGGGACACAUGAAGGAUAUGACACCCCCCCACACUUGUCAGCUUCUGAUCACACACCGAGCUGGAUGGUGAAGACAGCUGUCCAGCACACUGGAGGGGUGGUGUGUUCCAGCCUGCGUAUGUUGGGCAGCCACCUGGAGAACCUGUUUGUUCACUCUCAGGAGGGAGCCAGAAAGAGCCGGUACAAGACUGCCCCCUCCUCUGCCAUACUGGCUCCCUGCUGCAGAGACCAGGAAGGCCCCACCCUCUGCAGAAAACCACAGCACCAGUGGUGAUGCCAUGUAUGAAGCUGAAUCACUGAAGUUCCACCAGCUGUCAGGCUGCACUGCUCCUGCUGCAGCUCAGAAAUUUUACAUUCGAUGCAAGUAUUGGAGGAUUUGAGCAUGGUAUCUCAAGCAGUUGCGCCUAAACAUUUACUAUUAAAAUAGAUGUUACUAUAAA